Molecule: ribosomal RNA, 322 nt
Filed under: uncultured Platyreta
Lineage: Eukaryota; Endomyxa; Vampyrellida; Leptophryidae
Description: SSU rRNA
Rfam family: Eukaryotic small subunit ribosomal RNA (bases 87-322)
Source: RNAcentral
GAUUUCUGGCUUGGUGCGCGCCGUCCGCUUCGGUUUCGGAGUGAGUGCGGUUGUGCGCCUGCCAUCCUUCUGGUUAGUAUGCUGUGCCCUUCACUGGGUGUCAGGUGCUAAUUGGAUCUUUUACUUUGAAAAAAUUAGAGUGUUCAAAGCAGGCUUUCGCUAUGAAUACAUUAGCAUGGAAUAAUAAUUUAGGACUUUUGUUCUAUUUUGUUGGUUUCUAGGACGAAAGUAAUGAUUGAUAGGGAUAGUUGGGGGUGCUAGUAUUCAGCGGCCAGAGGUGAAAUUCUUGGAUUCGCUGAAGACUAACUUAUGCGAAAGCAUU